GGAGAUGACGACCUGAGCCAAAAUCAAGUCGGACACCUAACCGACGGAGCUACACAGAUUCAGUUUCUGGACCUGCAAGGUUGAUGUCCUGUACUUGGCACGUGGGGAGCUCAGCCAGAACAUAUCUGGCUCAUGUCCCUUCAAGGACGCUUAGUUCUCAGGAGACUUCUUGAGGAUGCCCAUUUUUGAAAGAGACUUCACAGCCUGGUUCCUCUUCUUUGGAUCAAUUCAAACGUUCACUCCGUUUUAACCACUCGAGUGCUUCUCAGGACCACCAUGAUCAGCGAGGGCAGAGAUAGACCAUGAACAGACAGAAACAAGAAAACAAGCAGAUGGGUUCAGACCCUGAGGACAAUGACAAGGUGGGGAGGUCAUUGUAUGUAUCCACAUGGAACUUAUAAAGGGAAGCAUGAGAAUUAGAUGUUAAUGUUGUUUACACUGUUUAUCUCAGCAGGUGGAAUGCCCUCCCGUCUGUGGCCACCAGUCAUCCUUUCCAUCCUUCACACUGCAGAUAAAAUUUACCUCCCCCUCCCCCCACGGACGAGACCAACCUGACCAUCCAGCAGGAAGGCACUUUUCUCUCUCCUUUGUGUGAGGAUCACUCGUGCUUCGUCUUCUCAUGAUCUACGAAGUGGCGUUGCUUCUCCUCCGUCUUAGGUCGAGCUCUGAGAAACAGAUCCUAUGAAGGAGAUUUGUGUGCAGCAAGUUUUGAAUCCUUCAGAUCAACCUCCUGCGGGGGGGGGGGGGGGGAGGGGGAAGGGCAGAGGGGAGGAAGCAAGAUUUGGCAAAGGAAGGGGCUGAUCUGCUAUACAGUCUCCACCCCGGCCUCAGCCCGUCACAUGGGGCGCUGGAGCUGGGUGACGCCCUCAGCUGGACCUUCACACACCAUCACCCAUCACGGACUGGUCGUUGGAUGCAUCUGUCUCCCGGUGGGAUGCAUGAUCUUGAUGCCUGGCGACAGCUCUUGUGAUGCUUGGAGGGACUCCGCUGAGAGCCACCGUCUCCAGUAGUUGGGAGAAAGGGUGACGUGGUUCCAGAGGGGGCCAGGUGGUGCACCUGGCCUCCGGCCUCCAGCCUCCAGCCUCUCAUCUGCAAGGAGGGAGGGAGCGCGUCUACGCCUGCGUGUUUGCCUGCGGGCUGCCUCCGGCAGGUGGCGCACCUUCAGUAAAUAGCUGUUAAAGGAGUGAAUAAAUCAACAAAGGAGCAGCUCAGAGCAACUGGGUCAUUCUCCGCUUUUAUUUGCCAGUAAUUUCUUAGUCCCAACGUUUUUGUUCCCUUCUUUAAAAAUAUUGCGUAUUAAUGUGGAAAGUUAUUCUAGGUCUUUGCUAGCCUCUCCACCUAGGGCUUCCUGGGACAGUCCUGGGAGGAGUACUAUGUUUUUUCUUCAUGACUACGAUGGAGAACGCGCAACAUAAAAUACUCCUUUAAUUAUGUUAAGUGUGUAGUUCAGUAGCUUCAGUCACGUUCAUAUGGUUUUUCAGCCAUCACCACGUUCACGUUCAGAACUUUUCCAUCCCCAGUUAAAUCUCUGCACCCAUUAAACUAUUACUCUUCCUUUUCUCUUUCCCCCCAGCUCCGGGGGACCUGUAUUCUACUUUUUGUUUCUAUAAAUUUGCUUAUUUCAGGCACAGCAUACAAGUGGAAUCGUGUAAUAUUUGUUCUUCUAUGUCUGGUUUAUAUUUCACCUGGCAUCACAGUUUGAAGGGUCAACCAACCACGUUAUAACCUGUGUCACAAUUUCAUUCCUGGUUAAGGCUGAAUAAUAUUCCAUUGUGUGGAUAGACCACAUUUUGUUCACCCAUUCAUCUGUCGAUGGACAUUUCGAUUGCUCACUUGUAACCUUUUGGCUAUUGUGAAUAAUGCUGUGAACACUGGUGGACAAGGCCGAGCCCUUGCUUUUAAUUGUUUGAGGCAGAUA
Felis catus (domestic cat) is the source of this 1918-nucleotide long non-coding RNA. RefSeq lists it as uncharacterized. The transcript is spliced from 5 exons. Lineage: Eukaryota; Metazoa; Chordata; Mammalia; Carnivora; Felidae. The record is from RefSeq and is a predicted model, not a curated record.